CAGUAGCUUGCUACUGAUGAGAGUGGCGCACGGGUGAGUAACGCGUAUGCAACCUACCUUUGACAGGGGGAUAGCCCGGAGAAAUCCGGAUUAAUAUCCCAUGGUAUUUAUAACUCGCAUGAGUUUUAAAUUAAAGAUUUAUCGGUCAAAGAUGGGCAUGCGUGACAUUAGUUUGUUGGUGAGGUAACGGCUCACCAAGACUACGAUGUCUAGGGGUUCUGAGAGGAUGAUCCCCCACACUGGUACUGAGACACGGACCAGACUCCUACGGGAGGCAGCAGUGAGGAAUAUUGGUCAAUGGGCGCAAGCCUGAACCAGCCAUCCCGCGUGAAGGAAGACGGCCCUAUGGGUUGUAAACUUCUUUUCUGCACCAAGAAUGGGCACUACGUGUAGUGUUUUGACGGUAGUGCAGGAAUAAGCAUCGGCUAACUCCGUGCCAGCAGCCGCGGUAAUACGGAGGAUGCAAGCGUUAUCCGGAUUCAUUGGGUUUAAAGGGUACGUAGGUGGCCCAGUAAGUCAGUGGUGAAAUCCUGCCGCUUAACGGUAGAACUGCCAUUGAAACUGCUGGGCUUGAGUACAGUUGAGGUAGGCGGAAUGUGUAGUGUAGCGGUGAAAUGCUUAGAUAUUACACAGAACCCCGAUUGCGAAGGCAGCUUACUAAACUGUAACUGACACUGAGGUACGAAAGCGUGGGGAGCGAACAGGAUUAGAU
Molecule: ribosomal RNA, 712 nt
Filed under: Sphingobacteriales bacterium YD24
Lineage: Bacteria; Pseudomonadati; Bacteroidota; Sphingobacteriia; Sphingobacteriales
Description: bacterial SSU rRNA
Rfam family: Bacterial small subunit ribosomal RNA
Source: RNAcentral